RNAcentral lists this ribosomal RNA (1473 nucleotides) under uncultured bacterium. RNAcentral's name for it is "bacterial SSU rRNA". It matches the Rfam family "Bacterial small subunit ribosomal RNA". The record is from RNAcentral.
GACGAACGCUGGCGGCAUGCCUAAUACAUGCAAGUCGAGCGGAUUGAUGGGAGCUUGCUCCCUGAUAGUUAGCGGCGGACGGGUGAGUAACACGUGGGCAACCUACCUUUAAGACUGGGAUAACUUCGGGAAACCGGAGCUAAUACCGGAUAACAUGUAAGACCACAUGGUCUUACAUUGAAAGAUGGCUUCGGCUAUCACUUAUAGAUGGGCCCGCGGCGCAUUAGCUAGUUGGUGAGGUAAUGGCUCACCAAGGCGACGAUGCGUAGCCGACCUGAGAGGGUGAUCGGCCACACUGGGACUGAGACACGGCCCAGACUCCUACGGGAGGCAGCAGUAGGGAAUCUUCCGCAAUGGACGAAAGUCUGACGGAGCAACGCCGCGUGAACGAUGAAGGCUUUCGGGUCGUAAAGUUCUGUUGUUAGGGAAGAACAAGUACCAGAGUAACUGCUGGUACCUUGAUGGUACCUAACCAGAAAGCCACGGCUAACUACGUGCCAGCAGCCGCGGUAAUACGUAGGUGGCAAGCGUUAUCCGGAAUUAUUGGGCGUAAAGCGCUCGCAGGCGGUCUUUUAAGUCUGAUGUGAAAGCCCACGGCUCAACCGUGGAGGGUCAUUGGAAACUGGGAGACUUGAGUGCAGAAGAGGAGAGUGGAAUUCCACGUGUAGCGGUGAAAUGCGUAGAGAUGUGGAGGAACACCAGUGGCGAAGGCGACUCUCUGGUCUGUAACUGACGCUGAGGAGCGAAAGCGUGGGGAGCGAACAGGAUUAGAUACCCUGGUAGUCCACGCCGUAAACGAUGAGUGCUAAGUGUUAGAGGGUUUCCGCCCUUUAGUGCUGCAGCUAACGCAUUAAGCACUCCGCCUGGGGAGUACGGUCGCAAGACUGAAACUCAAAGGAAUUGACGGGGGCCCGCACAAGCGGUGGAGCAUGUGGUUUAAUUCGAAGCAACGCGAAGAACCUUACCAGGUCUUGACAUCCUUAUGCCAACCCUAGAGAUAGGGCUUUCCCUUCGGGGACAUAAGUGACAGGUGGUGCAUGGUUGUCGUCAGCUCGUGUCGUGAGAUGUUGGGUUGAGUCCCGCAACGAGCGCAACCCUUGAUCUUAGUUGCCAGCAUUAAGUUGGGCACUCUAAGGUGACUGCCGGUGACAAACCGGAGGAAGGUGGGGAUGACGUCAAAUCAUCAUGCCCCUUAUGACCUGGGCUACACACGUGCUACAAUGGAUGGUACAAAGGGCAGCGAAACUGCGAGGUUAAGCGAAUCCCAUAAAACCAUUCUCAGUUCGGAUUGCAGGCUGCAACUCGCCUGCAUGAAGCUGGAAUCGCUAGUAAUCGCGGAUCAGCAUGCCGCGGUGAAUACGUUCCCGGGCCUUGUACACACCGCCCGUCACACCACGAGAGUUUGUAACACCCGAAGUCGGUGGGGUAACCGUAAGGAGCCAGCCGCCUAAGGUGGGACAGAUGAUUGGGGUG